GGCGUGCCUAAUACAUGCAAGCCGAGCUUACGAGUCAAAAGCUUGCUUUUGAAUCGUUAGCGGCGGACGGGUGAGUAACACGUGGGCAACCUGCCCUGUAGACGGUGAUAACACCGAGAAAUCGGUGCUAAUACCGGAUAACACGAGAGACCGCAUGGUUUUUCGUUGAAAGGCGGCGCAAGCUGUCGCUACAGGAUGGGCCCGCGGCGCAUUAGCUAGUUGGUGAGGUAACGGCUCACCAAGGCGACGAUGCGUAGCCGACCUGAGAGGGUGAUCGACCACACUGGGACUGAGACACGGCCCAGACUCCUACGGGAGGCAGCAGUAGGGAAUCUUCCGCAAUGGACGAAAGUCUGACGGAGCAACGCCGCGUGAGCGAAGAAGGCCUUCGGGUCGUAAAGCUCUGUUGUUAGGGAAGAACAAGUACCGCAGUCACUGGCGGUACCUUGACGGUACCUAACGAGAAAGCCACGGCUAACUACGUGCCAGCAGCCGCGGUAAUACGUAGGUGGCAAGCGUUGUCCGGAAUUAUUGGGCGUAAAGCGCGCGCAGGCGGUUCCUUAAGUCUGAUGUGAAAGCCCACGGCUCAACCGUGGAGGGUCAUUGGAAACUGGGGGACUUGAGUGCAGAAGAGGAGAGCGGAAUUCCACGUGUAGCGGUGAAAUGCGUAGAGAUGUGGAGGAACACCAGUGGCGAAGGCGGCUCUCUGGUCUGUAACUGACGCUGAGGCGCGAAAGCGUGGGGAGCAAACAGGAUUAGAUACCCUGGUAGUCCACGCCGUAAACGAUG
Molecule: ribosomal RNA, 789 nt
Filed under: uncultured organism
Description: SSU rRNA
Rfam family: Bacterial small subunit ribosomal RNA
Source: RNAcentral